AGGGUUUCCGCCCUUUAGUGCUGAAGUUAACGCAUUAAGCACUCCGCCUGGGGAGUACGGCCGCAAGGCUGAAACUCAAAGGAAUUGACGGGGGCCCGCACAAGCGGUGGAGCAUGUGGUUUAAUUCGAAGCAACGCGAAGAACCUUACCAG
Molecule: ribosomal RNA, 152 nt
Filed under: Bacillus sp. (in: firmicutes)
Lineage: Bacteria; Bacillati; Bacillota; Bacilli; Caryophanales; Bacillaceae
Description: Bacillus sp. (in: Bacteria) partial 16S ribosomal RNA
Rfam family: Bacterial small subunit ribosomal RNA
Source: RNAcentral